GCGGGAGUGGCGGAAUGGCAGACGCGCUAGGUUGAGGGCCUAGUGGUAGCAAUACUGUGGGGGUUCAAAUCCCCCCUUCCGCA
This 83-nucleotide transfer RNA is filed under the name Candidatus Omnitrophota bacterium. RNAcentral's name for it is "tRNA-Leu". It matches the Rfam family "tRNA". From Rfam's summary of the family: Transfer RNA (tRNA) molecules are approximately 80 nucleotides in length. Their secondary structure includes four short double-helical elements and three loops (D, anti-codon, and T loops). The record is from RNAcentral. Lineage: Bacteria; Pseudomonadati; Candidatus Omnitrophota.